UACGUAGGGUGCGAGCGUUAAUCGGAAUUACUGGGCGUAAAGCGUGCGCAGGCGGUUUUGUAAGACCGAUGUGAAAUCCCCGGGCCUAACCUGGGAACUGCAUUGGUGACUGCAAGGCUUGAGUGCGGCAGAGGGGAAUGGAAUUCCGCGUGUAGCAGUGAAAUGCGUAGAUAUGCGGAGGAACACCGAUGGCGAAGGCAGUUCCCUGGGCCUGCACUGACGCUCAUGCACGAAAGCGUGGGGAGCAAAC
RNAcentral lists this ribosomal RNA (250 nucleotides) under uncultured prokaryote. RNAcentral describes it as "partial 16S ribosomal RNA". It matches the Rfam family "Bacterial small subunit ribosomal RNA", at positions 524 to 773 of the family's 1533-position model. The record is from RNAcentral.